UACGAAGGGGGCUAGCGUUGUUCGGAAUUACUGGGCGUAAAGGGCGCGUAGGCGGCCAUUCAAGUUAGGUGUGAAAGCCCUGGGCUCAACCUAGGAAUUGCACUUGAUACUGUUUGGCUUGAGUUCGGGAGAGGUGAGUGGAAUUCCCAGUGUAGAGGUGAAAUUCGUAGAUAUUGGGAAGAACACCAGUGGCGAAGGCGGCUCACUGGCCCGGUACUGACGCUCAGGUGCGAAAGCGUGGGGAGCGAACGGG
This 253-nucleotide ribosomal RNA is filed under the name uncultured bacterium. RNAcentral describes it as "partial 16S ribosomal RNA". It matches the Rfam family "Bacterial small subunit ribosomal RNA", at positions 524 to 776 of the family's 1533-position model. The record is from RNAcentral.